CGGGGGGAGCAAGCGUUGUUCGGAUUUACUGGGCGUAAAGGGCGCGUAGGCGGCCACCGCAAGUCGACUGUGAAAUCUCCGGGCUUAACUCGGAACGGUCAGCCGAUACUGCGGGGCUAGAGUGCAGAAGGGGCAACUGGAAUUCUCGGUGUAGCGGUGAAAUGCGUAGAUAUCGAGAGGAACACCUGCGGCGAAGGCGGGUUGCUGGGCUGACACUGACGCUGAGGCGCGAGAGCUAGGGGAGCGAACGGGAUUAGAUACCCCGGUAGUCCUAGCCUUAAACGAUGAAUGCUUGGUGUCUGGGGUUUUAUAGUCCCCGGGUGCCGUCGCUAACGCUUUAAGCAUUCCGCCUGGGGAGUACGGUCGCAAGACUG
This 374-nucleotide ribosomal RNA is filed under the name uncultured organism. RNAcentral describes it as "bacterial SSU rRNA". It matches the Rfam family "Bacterial small subunit ribosomal RNA", at positions 526 to 896 of the family's 1533-position model. The record is from RNAcentral.